RNAcentral lists this ribosomal RNA (253 nucleotides) under uncultured bacterium. RNAcentral describes it as "partial 16S ribosomal RNA". It matches the Rfam family "Bacterial small subunit ribosomal RNA", at positions 524 to 776 of the family's 1533-position model. The record is from RNAcentral.
GACGUAGGUGGCGAACGUUAUCCGGAAUUACUGGGCGUAAAGCGUGCGCAGGCGGUCCGCUAAGACAGAUGUGAAAUCCCCGGGCUUAACCUGGGAACUGCAUUUGUGACUGGCGGGCUAGAGUAUGGCAGAGGGGGGUAGAAUUCCACGUGUAGCAGUGAAAUGCGUAGAGAUGUGGAGGAAUACCGAUGGCGAAGGCAGCCCCCUGGGCCAAUACUGACGCUCAUGCACGAAAGCGUGGGGAGCAAACAGG